AGACCAAAGAGGGGGACCUUCGGGCCUCUUGCCAUCGGAUGUGCCCAGAUGGGAUUAGCUUGUUGGUGAGGUAACGGCUCACCAAGGCGACGAUCCCUAGCUGGUCUGAGAGGAUGACCAGCCACACUGGAACUGAGACACGGUCCAGACUCCUACGGGAGGCAGCAGUGGGGAAUAUUGCACAAUGGGCGCAAGCCUGAUGCAGCCAUGCCGCGUGUAUGAAGAAGGCCUUCGGGUUGUAAAGUACUUUCAGCGGGGAGGAAGGGAGUAAAGUUAAUACCUUUGCUCAUUGACGUUACCCGCAGAAGAAGCACCGGCUAACUCCGUGCCAGCAGCCGCGGUAAUACGGAGGGUGCAAGCGUUAAUCGGAAUUACUGGGCGUAAAGCGCACGCAGGCGGUUUGUUAAGUCAGAUGUGAAAUCCCCGGGCUCAACCUGGGAACUGCAUCUGAUACUGGCAAGCUUGAGUCUCGUAGAGGGGGGUAGAAUUCCAGGUGUAGCGGUGAAAUGCGUAGAGAUCUGGAGGAAUACCGGUGGCGAAGGCGGCCCCCUGGACGAAGACUGACGCUCAGGUGCGAAAGCGUGGGGAGCAAACAGGAUUAGAUACCCUGGUAGUCCACGCCGUAAACGAUGUCGACUUGGAGGUUGUGCCCUUGAGGCGUGGCUUCCGGAGCUAACGCGUUAAGUCGACCGCCUGGGGAGUACGGCCGCAAGGUUAAAACUCAAAUGAAUUGACGGGGGCCCGCACAAGCGGUGGAGCAUGUGGUUUAAUUCGAUGCAACGCGAAGAACCUUACCUGGUCUUGACAUCCACGGAAGUUUUCAGAGAUGAGAAUGUGCCUUCGGGAACCGUGAGACAGGUGCUGCAUGGCUGUCGUCAGCUCGUGUUGUGAAAUGUUGGGUUAAGUCCCGCAACGAGCGCAACCCUUAUCCUUUGUUGCCAGCGGUCCGGCCGGGAACUCAAAGGAGACUGCCAGUGAUAAACUGGAGGAAGGUGGGGACGACGUCAAGUCAUCAUGGCCCUUACGACCAGGGCUACACACGUGCUACAAUGGCGCAUACAAAGAGAAGCGACCUCGCGAGAGCAAGCGGACCUCAUAAAGUGCGUCGUAGUCCGGAUUGGAGUCUGCAACUCGACUCCAUGAAGUCGGAAUCGCUAGUAAUCGUGGAUCAGAAUGCCACGGUGAAUACGUUCCCGGGCCUUGUACACACCGCCCGUCACACCAUGGGAGUGGGUUGCAAAAGAAGUAGGUAGCUUAACCUUCGGGAGGGCGCUUACCACUUUGUGAUUCAUGACUGGGGUGAAGUCGUAACAAGGUAACCGUAGGGGAACCUGCGGUUGGAUCACCUCCUU
Molecule: ribosomal RNA, 1352 nt
Filed under: Shigella flexneri
Lineage: Bacteria; Pseudomonadati; Pseudomonadota; Gammaproteobacteria; Enterobacterales; Enterobacteriaceae
Description: bacterial SSU rRNA
Rfam family: Bacterial small subunit ribosomal RNA
Source: RNAcentral